CUACGGGGGGCAGCAGUGGGGAAUAUUGCACAAUGGGCGCAAGCCUGAUGCAGCCAUGCCGCGUGUGUGAAGAAGGCCUUCGGGUUGUAAAGCACUUUCAGCGGGGAGGAAGGCGUUAAGGUUAAUAACCUUGGCGAUUGACGUUACCCGCAGAAGAAGCACCGGCUAACUCCGUGCCAGCAGCCGCGGUAAUACGGAGGGUGCAAGCGUUAAUCGGAAUUACUGGGCGUAAAGCGCACGCAGGCGGUCUGUCAAGUCGGAUGUGAAAUCCCCGGGCUCAACCUGGGAACUGCAUUCGAAACUGGCAGGCUAGAGUCUUGUAGAGGGGGGUAGAAUUCCAGGUGUAGCGGUGAAAUGCGUAGAGAUCUGGAGGAAUACCGGUGGCGAAGGCGGCCCCCUGGACAAAGACUGACACUCAGGUGCGAAAGCGUGGGGAGCAAACCGGAUUAGAUACCCUAGUAGUC
RNAcentral lists this ribosomal RNA (464 nucleotides) under uncultured Klebsiella sp. RNAcentral's name for it is "bacterial SSU rRNA". It matches the Rfam family "Bacterial small subunit ribosomal RNA", at positions 339 to 795 of the family's 1533-position model. Lineage: Bacteria; Pseudomonadati; Pseudomonadota; Gammaproteobacteria; Enterobacterales; Enterobacteriaceae. The record is from RNAcentral.